GACGAACGCUGGCGGCGUGCUUAACACAUGCAAGUCGAACGAAGUGGCGCACGGGUGAGUAACGCGUCAUCAACCUGCCCUUCAGAGGGGGACAACAGUUGGAAACGCCUGCUAAUACCGCAUACUGAAGGAGGGGAUUGCGUCUGAUUCGCUAGUUGGAGUGGUAACGGCCCAACAAGGCGAUGAUCAGUAGCCGGGCGUAGAGGGUGAAAGGCCACAUUGGGAACGGGACACGGCCCAGACUCCGACGGGAGGCAGCAGUGGGGAAUAUUCCGCAAUGGACGAAAGUCUGACGGAGCAACGCCGCGUGAGGGAGGACGGCCUUCGGGUUGUAAAGCUCUGUUAAUCGGGACGCGGUACCGGAAUAGAAAGCCACGGCUAACUACGUGCCAGCAGCCGCGGUAAUUC
This 408-nucleotide ribosomal RNA is filed under the name uncultured bacterium. RNAcentral's name for it is "partial 16S ribosomal RNA". It matches the Rfam family "Bacterial small subunit ribosomal RNA", at positions 28 to 526 of the family's 1533-position model. The record is from RNAcentral.